UAUGGCAGUACCUAUGUGUAUACUUUCUUCGGCACUACGUCCUCAUGUUAUCGUAUAUUUUGUAGUAUACGUCGUUUUGUUUGUGUAGUUUCAGGUUGUGUUUUUUGAAAUUGUAUCACGUUUGUGUAUCUUUAGUUUUUUGUCUUGAGGAUGAGUCAAAAGCCUAAGCGACGUGUAAGAUUGGCCAGGAUGCCUGGACCGCCACCACCUCCCCCGGUGGCACCGCCGCCGCCUAUGAUGGGAGCACCGCCACCGGUUUUCAGCCAGCCGAAAUCCUCGACUGAUGAUCGCGCCGCCCUUUUGAAGUCUAUCCAGAAGGGGGCCAAACUGAAGAAAACCGUGACGAACGACAAGAGCGCCCCCAUGAUAGGAAAAGUGACAAGUUCUUCGAAUCCAACGCCAACUACGAACAACGGCGGCGGUAGUUAUGGGGGACCUUCGAUGGCCAAUGGGAUGGGGUUGGGAGGGCUGUUCGCUGGCGGAAUGCCUAAGCUGAAGCCAACAAAGAAUAGAUUAGGAAUUAACUCUACAAACAAUGCAAGUAACCUCGAACAAAAUGGAAACGCAAAAAUCACAAGAGAAAGGUCGCCUGUACAACCUACCCCAUCGUUCAACUUCACCAGCAUUCAAAACGAAGUUAAGAAGAAGCUGGCCAACGAUAACCGGGACAGGGGGCCACCCCCACCUACACCCUCAGCUGACAACGUAACUGCAGAACUGAGUCAUUUGUCCAUACAGCAGAGCAAUUCCAGCGGUAGCUUCGUGCAACAAGGUGUAACAGCCAAUCAUAGUUCUCUGCAUAGGAAGACGCAGAGCAACGUCAACUUGAGUUCUUUGGAUAGCACCGGGGUAUCGCCAUCGCCUGCAUCCACCCUCUCCACCUCAACGAGAUCAGUGAAUCACGGCAAGCCGAACUUGGCCCCCAAACCGCCUAUAUUGAACGGUAAACCGAAGGCUAAUCCUCCUAAGAGGUUAGUGACCAACGGUAAAGUUGUAGGUAGGGCGCACAGUUUAAAGAGCCCUAGAUCGCCACCUGUCCAACCUUUGGAGUCGCCAAUCGAUUCGGCCAUCAAGUACGGCACUGUACGAAAUAUGAGCUCUGUUCUGAGUCAUUCUAUAGGCAACAACCUGAACUCUAGGUCUAAAAUGACCUUGAACGGACGCCCCUCAGCACCGCCCCCUUCGAUACCAGGAACUCCCCCACACCAUGGAGGCUCUGCACCUGCCCCGCCAUCUAAGACGGCGUUGAUGAAGCCACCAAACCACGCUCCUCCACCACCUCCAGGAGCUUUACCUCAACCUCCCAAUCAUGCCCCACCCCCGCCACCCCCACACAAAACUUUACCAGCAAAGUCCUCAGGAAUGAGUUUCUCGUCUAGUCAGACACCUCCACCCCCUCCCCCACCGAGAAACUCUUCCAUGCGAGAUCAAAAUAGCGUUUACAAGAAGCAGUCGUCCAUAUUGGAUUUCGACGAAAGAUUCAAAGAAAUGUUUAAGUCCCCCACGUCUUUUCCAAAGCCUCCUCCGUUCAGGAACGUGCUUAAAAUCUAUUCCAACAGACAAGGAUCGGACUGCUAAAUACAUCAUCAUCUUGCAUGUUCAUUUGUCUGUGAGCAAGCUCUAACUACAAUAUAAUCGUUAAUAAACAACAGGCUCCCCCACCACCAUCGCCAUUACUUCCAAACAACAGACUUUGGGAUGUGCCUUCCAGCUGUUGAAAAUAAAUUUUUUAGUAUUAUUUUUGCUCAAGUCUAUUUCUGUCGAAUGUAAGCAGAAAAUUAUGGGAGAAAGAUAGAGAUAAACGUGAUAUGAAAUGGUGAUUUGAAAGUGUAGUCGUCAAGUUAUACCUAAUAGUGUAUAAAUAAAAUAGCUUCUGAGCUAUUAAUAUAUUAGCAUGUAAGUUGAUUUUUAAAACAUUAUUUAUUAUUUUAUUUAAUUUUUAUUUAGUAACUACCUUUUUAAAUGUACAUUCUAAUAUGCCUUUGCGUCAAAGCUUUUUUUUUCAUCAAGAAAACAAUUUUCUGUAGUUGUUUAUACUGUUAUACUUUUCAUGUAUACAUUGAUCAAAUAAUACUGUGAAACAUU
Molecule: RNA transcript, 2085 nt
Organism: Coccinella septempunctata (seven-spotted ladybird)
Lineage: Eukaryota; Metazoa; Arthropoda; Insecta; Coleoptera; Coccinellidae
Gene name: verprolin-like
Exons: 10
Source: RefSeq, a predicted model, not a curated record